GAUAAACGCUAGCGGCAGGCCUAACACAUGCAAGUCGAACGGUAACAGGGGUAGCAAUAUCUGCUGACGAGUGGCGCACGGGUGAGUAACACGUUUGCAACUAACCUUUGACUGGGGGAUAGCCCGGAGAAAUUCGGAUUAAUACCCCAUAAUAUUUAUAGGAGGCAUCUUUUAUAAAUUAAAGCUUCGGUGGUCAAAGACGGGCAUGCGUACCAUUAGCUUGUUGGUGAGGUAACGGCUCACCAAGGCAACGAUGGUUAGGGGGUCUGAGAGGAUGGUCCCCCACACUGGUACUGAGACACGGACCAGACUCCUACGGGAGGCAGCAGUGAGGAAUAUUGGGCAAUGGACGCAAGUCUGACCCAGCCAUGCCGCGUGCAGGAUGAAUGCCCUAUGGGUUGUAAACUGCUUUUGUACAGAAAGAAAUCACCGGACGUGUCCGGUGUUGACGGUACUGUAUGAAUAAGCAUCGGCUAACUCCGUGCCAGCAGCCGCGGUAAUACGGAGGAUGCAAGCGUUAUCCGGAUUUAUUGGGUUUAAAGGGUGUGUAGGCGGGAAAUUAAGUCAGUGAUGAAAUCCUACAGCUUAACUGUAGAACUGUUAUUGAUACUGGUUUUCUUGAAUACAGUUGAGGCAGGCGGAAUGUGUAAUGUAGCGGUGAAAUGCUUAGAUAUUACACAGAACACCGAUUGCGAAGGCAGCUUGCUAAACUGUCAUUGACGCUGAGGCACGAAAGCGUGGGGAUCAAACAGGAUUAGAUACCCUGGUAGUCCACGCUGUAAACUAUGAUCACUCGCUGUUGGCGACACACAGUCAGCGGCCGAGCGAAAGCAUUAAGUGAUCCACCUGGGGAGUACGAUCGCAAGAUUGAAACUCAAAGGAAUUGACGGGGGCCCGCACAAGCGGAGGAACAUGUGGUUUAAUUCGAUGAUACGCGAGGAACCUUACCUGGGCUUGAAUGCAGGUUGACAGACUGGGAAACUGGUUCUUCUUCGGACAACUUGCAAGGUGCUGCAUGGUUGUCGUCAGCUCGUGCCGUGAGGUGUAGGGUUAAGUCCCAUAACGAGCGCAACCCUUAUUGUUAGUUGCCAGCGGGUAAUGCCGGGGACUCUAGCGAAACUGCCGGUGUAAACCGUGAGGAAGGAGGGGAUGACGUCAAAUCAGCACGGCCCUUAUGUCCAGGGCGACACACGUGUUACAAUGGCCGGUACAAAGGGCAGCUACCUGGUGACAGGAUGCUAAUCUCCAAAACCGGUCUCAGUUCGGAUCGAAGUCUGCAACUCGACUUCGUGAAGCCGGAUUCGCUAGUAAUCGCGCAUCAGCCACGGCGCGGUGAAUACGUUCCCGGGCCUUGUACACACCGCCCGUCAAGCCAUGGAAGCCGGGGGGACCUAAAAUCCGUAACCGCAAGGAGCGGCUUAGGGUAAAACCGGUGACUGGGGCU
RNAcentral lists this ribosomal RNA (1444 nucleotides) under uncultured bacterium. Its description in RNAcentral is "bacterial SSU rRNA". It matches the Rfam family "Bacterial small subunit ribosomal RNA". The record is from RNAcentral.